RNAcentral lists this ribosomal RNA (217 nucleotides) under Providencia stuartii. Its description in RNAcentral is "partial 16S ribosomal RNA". It matches the Rfam family "Bacterial small subunit ribosomal RNA", at positions 1 to 216 of the family's 1533-position model. The record is from RNAcentral. Lineage: Bacteria; Pseudomonadati; Pseudomonadota; Gammaproteobacteria; Enterobacterales; Morganellaceae.
UAAUUGAAGAGUUUGAUCAUGGCUCAGAUUGAACGCUGGCGGCAGGCCUAACACAUGCAAGUCGAGCGGUAACAGGGGAAGCUUGCUUCUCGCUGACGAGCGGCGGACGGGUGAGUAAUGUAUGGGGAUCUGCCCGAUAGAGGGGGAUAACUACUGGAAACGGUGGCUAAUACCGCAUAAUCUCUUAGGAGCAAAGCAGGGGACCUUCGGGCCUUGC